UACGUAGGUGGCAAGCGUUGUCCGGAAUUAUUGGGCGUAAAGCGCGCGCAGGCGGCCUCUUAAGUCUGAUGUGAAAGCCCCCGGCUCAACCGGGGAGGGCCAUUGGAAACUGGGAGGCUUGAGUAUAGGAGAGAAGAGUGGAAUUCCACGUGUAGCGGUGAAAUGCGUAGAGAUGUGGAGGAACACCAGUGGCGAAGGCGACUCUUUGGCCUAAUAACUGACGCUGGAGGCGCGAAAAGCGCGGGGAGCAAACAGGAUUGAGAA
RNAcentral lists this ribosomal RNA (264 nucleotides) under uncultured bacterium. RNAcentral describes it as "partial 16S ribosomal RNA". It matches the Rfam family "Bacterial small subunit ribosomal RNA", at positions 524 to 784 of the family's 1533-position model. The record is from RNAcentral.